AUGGAUCGAUCAGUAGUUGACGACCCUGCACUUCCUCCUGAUUUCGCCUUGCUUGCCGGUCUUCACAUCGAUGGCUCCCAUCUUGACCAUGGCCUUGUUAAACUUGGCCUCCCACUGCCCGGGGAUGUUGGCACUGUCGCGCACCAUCUGUGUCGUCGCCGGUGUCGUGAGAAGGGCGGCGUCGGACGUGAACAGCACCUUGUGUGCGAGGACAUUCUUGUAGUACUGGUUAUCGAGAGCGUUGGGGGUCACCACGUCUUGGUUCACCGUGGGGUCGUUGGCCGUGCUCGGGUUGGCGGGGCACCUCCUCCUCAGGAAGUUGGCGAAGCCACCGUCGAUGUCGGAGGUGACGGCGAUGCGGUCGGAGACGAAGGACGAGCAGUGGGAGACCCCGAUAGUGUGGGCGCCGGAGAGCACGACCAUGUCCUCGGCGCUGAGGCCCUUAGCGGCGAAGCUGGCGACGAGCUGGUCGAGGUUGAAGAAUGGUGGCGGCAGGUUGUCCAGGGCCUCCGUGGAAUUGGAAACGCGGCCGUCGAGGCGGCCCGCCGGCAUGUUGAUCUUGACCUUCAUCUUGCUAAGGAAGUAGGCUGCGUCGCGGCUGGCGAAGGCGACGAUGUCGGCGCACGAGACCACUCCGGGGCACGCCUUCUCGACGGCGUCCUUGGCCGCGUCGAUCACCUCGAAGCCACGCAGGCUGGGGAAGUUGGGAGGGCUCAGCUUCUCGGGCUGCGGGUUGGCCGGCGUCGGGUCGAGGAGGACGGAGCCAUCACAUCCCUGGACGAAGCAGUCGUGGAAGAACAUGCGGAUGAGGCCGGCGCCGAUGCCGGCGUUCUUGUAGACGAACUUCUUCACCUCGUCCCUCACGAUGGCCUCCACUCGGGGGCAUGUCUUCUUGUAGUAACCCACCUCCAGGCCAUGGCACGCCGACGACGACAGCAGCAGUACGCAUGCCAGCGCAACAGAAAGCUUAAGGGAAGCUGCGGCCAUUGCCUCUCUUCUCAAGCUAGCUCUGAAUGA
This 1017-nucleotide ribosomal RNA is filed under the name Triticum aestivum (bread wheat). Its description in RNAcentral is "partial small subunit ribosomal RNA". The record is from RNAcentral. Lineage: Eukaryota; Viridiplantae; Streptophyta; Magnoliopsida; Poales; Poaceae.